Triticum aestivum (bread wheat) is the source of this 115-nucleotide non-coding RNA. The record is from Rfam. NCBI's taxonomy places the organism in Eukaryota, Viridiplantae, Streptophyta, Magnoliopsida, Poales, Poaceae.
GUUCUACUCCCUCCGUUCCAAAUUACUCGUCGCAGAAAUGGAUGUAUCUAGAACUAAAAUACAUCUAGAUACAUUAAUACCCACGACAAGUAAUUCAGAACGGAGGGAGUACUUU